UUGAACCGUACGCACAAGAAUCGCUUCUGGCCACUCCCAGGUGAAUGAAAGUCAGAAGUUUUCCACUUCUGCGAACGG
Rhagoletis zephyria (snowberry fruit fly) is the source of this 78-nucleotide long non-coding RNA. RefSeq lists it as uncharacterized. NCBI's taxonomy places the organism in Eukaryota, Metazoa, Arthropoda, Insecta, Diptera, Tephritidae. The record is from RefSeq and is a predicted model, not a curated record.